AGCUCUGGUGGCUCAGUGGUUAGGGCGUCUGCCUCGGGUGCGGGAGGUCACUGGUUCGAACCCCAUCUUAGUCA
This is a non-coding RNA of Potamilus streckersoni, 74 nucleotides long. Lineage: Eukaryota; Metazoa; Mollusca; Bivalvia; Unionida; Unionidae. The record is from the annotation of a GenBank genome assembly.